AAACAAAUUAAAUAAUCUUCUUUUCUUUUGUCUCUUUUCACAAAUCUUCUGCAUCGCUAAGAGUUUUCGAUUGCUCGAAGACAAACACGACGCCUGAAAUAUCUUCCCCAGAGAAUCACAUUCCCUCUUCAGCUUCAGAAUGAGUUCAAAAUGGAAACACUCUGGUGAUGAAGGGGAGAAAGGAAUGCCUAAAACUUGUAGAUGUGGAGAAGCUUCUUUAAUUAGAACUUCAAAAACCUAUGAAAAUCCAGGGAGGCUUUUCCAUUGUUGUCCAAAUGGAUCAAAAAAGGAAAAAAACCAUUUGCUUAAGUGGACAGAUGAAGCAGUUGUCGAAGAAAUUGAUGAUAUAAAGGACAGCUAUGGGCAGAAGAUAAAAGAGAUGAAUGACGUCAUUGUUGAAUUUGAGAAGGAGAUCGAAGAGAUGAAAACUACCGUCUAUGGUUGUGAUAAAGAGUUUAAAGAUUUCGUUGUUGAGGUUCGAAGCUUGAGAAACAUAAUUGUUUGUGGAUUUACCAUGUGUAUCCUCUACUAUUGUGUUAUAGCAUUAUAUGUGUAACUUACCUGGAAUUAAGGAAGCAACUAAGAGCAUGAUUAUUGCGAAGUUA
Molecule: long non-coding RNA, 605 nt
Organism: Brassica oleracea var. oleracea
Lineage: Eukaryota; Viridiplantae; Streptophyta; Magnoliopsida; Brassicales; Brassicaceae
Exons: 2
Source: RefSeq, a predicted model, not a curated record